RNAcentral lists this ribosomal RNA (486 nucleotides) under uncultured bacterium. RNAcentral's name for it is "bacterial SSU rRNA". It matches the Rfam family "Bacterial small subunit ribosomal RNA", at positions 29 to 507 of the family's 1533-position model. The record is from RNAcentral. RNAcentral also lists the same sequence under 1 other name.
AUUGAACGCUGGCGGCGUGCCUAACACAUGCAAGUCGAUCGGUAACAGGUGUAGCAAUACAUGCUGACGAGAGGCGGACGGGUGAGUAACGCUUGGGAAUCUGCCUAUUAGUGGGGGACAACCCGGGGAAACUCGGGCUAAUACCGCAUACGCUCUACGGAGGAAAGCCGGGGACCGCAAGGCCUGGCGCUAAUAGAUGAGCCCAAGUCGGAUUAGCUAGUUGGUAGGGUAAUGGCCUACCAAGGCGACGAUCCGUAGCUGGUCUGAGAGGACGACCAGCCACACUGGGACUGAGACACGGCCCAGACUCCUACGGGAGGCAGCAGUGGGGAAUAUUGGACAAUGGGGGAAACCCUGAUCCAGCGACGCCGCGUGGGUGAAGAAGGCCUGCGGGUUGUAAAGCCCUUUCGGUGGGGAAGAAAAGCCUCGACCUAACACGUCGGGGUAUUGACGUAACCCACAAAAGAAGCACCGGCUAACUCUGUG